Ribosomal RNA from Carassius auratus (goldfish), 119 nucleotides. Lineage: Eukaryota; Metazoa; Chordata; Actinopteri; Cypriniformes; Cyprinidae. The record is from Ensembl.
GCUUACGGCUAUACCAACCUGGCUGUGCCCGAUCUCGUCUGAUCUAUGAAGCUAAGCAGGUUUGGGCCUUGUUAGUUCUUAGAUGGUAGACCGCAUGGGAGUACCAGGUGCUGUAAGCU